AUUGAACGCUGGCGGCAGGCCUAACACAUGCAAGUCGAACGAGCCGCGGACGGGUGAGUAAUGUGUGGAACUCUGCCCGCUUGUGGGGGAUAACUACUGAAAACGGUGGAUUAUACCGCAUCCUGUCGGAUGGGCCCAUAUGGGAUUAGCUAGUAGGUGGGGUAAAGGCUCACCUAGGCGACGAUCGCUAGCUGGUCUGAGAGGUUGAUCGGCGACACGGGAAAUUAGAAAUGGCCUAGACUCCGACGGGUGGCAGGAGUGGGGAAUAGGGCACAAUGGGCGCAAGCCGGAUGCAGCCAGGCCGAGGGUAUGAAGAAGGCCUUAGGGUUGUAAGGUAUUUUCAGCUGGGAGGCGUUACCCGCAGAAGAAGCACCGGCUAACUCCGUGCCAGCAGCCGCGGUAAUUC
This 406-nucleotide ribosomal RNA is filed under the name uncultured bacterium. RNAcentral describes it as "partial 16S ribosomal RNA". It matches the Rfam family "Bacterial small subunit ribosomal RNA", at positions 30 to 526 of the family's 1533-position model. The record is from RNAcentral.